This 377-nucleotide ribosomal RNA is filed under the name Leclercia sp. 15R. RNAcentral's name for it is "bacterial SSU rRNA". It matches the Rfam family "Bacterial small subunit ribosomal RNA", at positions 972 to 1349 of the family's 1533-position model. Lineage: Bacteria; Pseudomonadati; Pseudomonadota; Gammaproteobacteria; Enterobacterales; Enterobacteriaceae. The record is from RNAcentral.
UACCUACUCUUGACAUCCAGAGAACUUAGCAGAGAUGCUUUGGUGCCUUCGGGAACUCUGAGACAGGUGCUGCAUGGCUGUCGUCAGCUCGUGUUGUGAAAUGUUGGGUUAAGUCCCGCAACGAGCGCAACCCUUAUCCUUUGUUGCCAGCGGUUCGGCCGGGAACUCAAAGGAGACUGCCAGUGAUAAACUGGAGGAAGGUGGGGAUGACGUCAAGUCAUCAUGGCCCUUACGAGUAGGGCUACACACGUGCUACAAUGGCGCAUACAAAGAGAAGCGACCUCGCGAGAGCAAGCGGACCUCAUAAAGUGCGUCGUAGUCCGGAUUGGAGUCUGCAACUCGACUCCAUGAAGUCGGAAUCGCUAGUAAUCGUAGAU